RNAcentral lists this ribosomal RNA (790 nucleotides) under uncultured organism. RNAcentral's name for it is "bacterial SSU rRNA". It matches the Rfam family "Bacterial small subunit ribosomal RNA", at positions 1 to 782 of the family's 1533-position model. The record is from RNAcentral.
GGCUUAGAGUUUGAUCAUGGCUCAGGAUGAACGCUAGCUACAGGCUUAACACAUGCAAGUCGAGGGGCAGCAUGGUCUUAGCUUGCUAAGGCCGAUGGCGACCGGCGCACGGGUGAGUAACACGUAUCCAACCUGCCGUCUACUCUUGGACAGCCUUCUGAAAGGAAGAUUAAUACAAGAUGGCAUCAUGAGUUCACAUGUUCACAUGAUUAAAGGUAUUCCGGUAGACGAUGGGGAUGCGUUCCAUUAGAUAGUAGGCGGGGUAACGGCCCACCUAGUCUUCGAUGGAUAGGGGUUCUGAGAGGAAGGUCCCCCACAUUGGAACUGAGACACGGUCCAAACUCCUACGGGAGGCAGCAGUGAGGAAUAUUGGUCAAUGGGCGCAGGCCUGAACCAGCCAAGUAGCGUGAAGGAUGACUGCCCUAUGGGUUGUAAACUUCUUUUAUAAAGGAAUAAAGUCGGGUAUGUAUACCCGUUUGCAUGUGCUUUAUGAAUAAGGAUCGGCUAACUCCGUGCCAGCAGCCGCGGUAAUACGGAGGAUCCGAGCGUUAUCCGGAUUUAUUGGGUUUAAAGGGAGCGUAGAUGGAUGUUUAAGUCAGUUGUGAAAGUUUGCGGCUCAACCGUAAAAUUGCAGUUGAUACUGGAUAUCUUGAGUGCAGUUGAGGCAGGCGGAAUUCGUGGUGUAGCGGUGAAAUGCUUAGAUAUCACGAAGAACUCCGAUUGCGAAGGCAGCCUGCUAAGCUGCAACUGACAUUGAGGCUCGAAAGUGUGGGUAUCAAACAGGAUUAGA